GACGAACUGUGCAAACGUUAUUCGGAAUCACUGGGCUUGAAGAGUGCGUAGGCGGUUUUGUAAGUAGGGUGUGAAAUCCCCCGGCUCAACCGGGGAAUUGCGUCCUAGACUGCAAGGCGGGAGUGAGGUAGGGGUGUGUGGAACUUCUAGUGGAGCGGUGAAAUGUGUUGAUAUUAGAAGGAACGCCGGUGGCGAAAGCGACACACUGGACCUUGUCUGACGCUGAGGCACGAAAGCCAGGGGAGGCAAACAGGGG
Molecule: ribosomal RNA, 256 nt
Filed under: uncultured bacterium
Lineage: Bacteria
Description: partial 16S ribosomal RNA
Rfam family: Bacterial small subunit ribosomal RNA
Source: RNAcentral